CCCUUAGAUGUUCUGGGCCGCACGCGCGUUACACUGAUGCAUUCAACGAGCCUAUCCUUGACCGACAGGUCCGGGUAAUCUUUGAAUCUGCAUCGUGACGGGGAUAGAUUAUUGCAAUUAUUAAUCUUCAACGAGGAAUGCCUAGUAGGCGCAAGUCAUCAGCUUGCGUCGAUUACGUCCCUGCCCUUUGUACACACCGCCCGUCGCUCCUACCGAUUGGGUGUGCUGGUGAAAUGUUCGGAUCGGCCGUUUGUCGCGGUUUCCGCGGCUCGUGGCUGAGAAGUUCAUUAAACCCUCCCACCUAGAGGAAGGAGAAGUCGUAACA
Molecule: ribosomal RNA, 325 nt
Filed under: uncultured eukaryote
Lineage: Eukaryota
Description: partial 18S ribosomal RNA
Rfam family: Eukaryotic small subunit ribosomal RNA
Source: RNAcentral